This is a non-coding RNA of Leptonychotes weddellii (Weddell seal), 2074 nucleotides long. Lineage: Eukaryota; Metazoa; Chordata; Mammalia; Carnivora; Phocidae. The record is from RefSeq and is a predicted model, not a curated record.
GCGGCGCUGGCGGCGCGCGGGGGACGGGCGGCGUCUGGGCUGGUCGCGGAGGGUUGGUUCAACCACGAAUGAGACACACUUCACCGUCUCCACAAAGCGCCACCUCGGCAAUUCUAGAGAGGAACUCCAUGGUACACAAAUGUUCAAGCCGGCAGGCAGCCCAGGAAACCAGGCGUGGACAGCUUUAAUCCACACAGUCCCCGUGCGGCCUCUAAGCCCCAGGAGGCUGGUCUACGUGGCAGCAUCAGUCUGGGGUCUUGGUUCAAGGAAUGGGACGUGCUCACCAGAGACUGGCUGGAACCGGGGAGAGCAGCGCCGGCGUGUCCCUGCCCCUAGAGCCUCUGCAGCUUUGUCACAGCUGGUGCGUUCCCCGCCAGUGACCACAGGUCCUGGACCUUCAAAGACAGAAUCCCCAGGAAAGAAGGUUUGGGUCACUCUAGCUGGUAAGGAGAUGCUUGCUGAAGGUGGAGGGAAGGUGGAAUGACUAGGAAAGCAAGAUCAUUAAUCCCAACGCAGCCUCUUGAAGAGUUAACAGAAAUGAAGCCUGCGAUCCCAAUCUGUGUUCCUCGUGUGAUGUUUUGUUCAACUGGGUCUCAGGAUAGAUCUUGCUACACAUUUUCAGAAGACUUUGCAAUGUAUAAAAGAUACUGUUUCACCAAAUCUUUGCCUUGGUCACAUCUUGAACAACGGAUACAGCAAGUAAUAGAAGUUAGAAAUGAUUUAUCUGAGGGAGAAGAUUUUUCACAUAGGUGCAUUUUUUAAAGACACCCAAAGUACAAAGUUUAGAAAGCAUAACCACUUCUUAAUGACAAUCUUUCCAAAGUGCAUCACAUCCUGCCUGGCUUCAUCAAACUGCGAUCCCCGAGGCCCAAAGGAGAUGACGGGUUUAUCUCGCCCUUGGACAUGACUCUCCAGAUUACUGCCCUUUCCUUAGGGCUGGGGAAUUUUUCUACCCCUGGUGACCUCAACAGCCUCCUGGUCAGAGGACAGAAACUUCUCCCCGUUUAACCCUUUCCACACUCUCUGGCUGUUACUUGUAUAGUCUCCUACCACUGCAAGGCUAGAACAGUUGAAUGUUGCAAUUGCAAACAGAUAAUCAUGCUCGUCGAGUUAAGUUUAUCAACUGUGCAUGAGUGGAAGUCAAUAUCCUGGUGGGAAGGCUGGAGUGUCUUCUACCCUCUACACUGGAGUACACAACUUAGAUUUUGUGACAGUCUAUGUUUCAACUCUGGUUCAGUUUGUGUGUCAUUUGUUGGUAGAAGUUUCCAGGUGUCUUAAGUGCCGGAUAGAGAGAGCAUUGCAAUCAUGCAUUUCAGGAGAGAUUUCUGAUGGGCUUUCUGGUAGAAAAAUUUCAUUUCAUUCUUCAGGAUCUCCGGGGAAACUGGAAUUUUCCUAAACAACGUAUGUUUUAAGAAAUUUCAUAUUUAUGUGUAAUCCUAAAGCCCCUUCGUUGAAUUUUUAGACUCAUUUUUUACGAGUCAGUCCUUAAAGGAGAUGGCUCCAGCAGCUUUCCUCUUUCAUACAUCAGUGUUGGUGUCUAUUAUUUCUUAUUCAAAAAUGUGGGGCAGAAUUUCCUUAAAAUAAUCCCUCUGAAGGAUGGCUUUCACAAAGAGAAGCAAUGGUGCUCGGUUAUAUAUCAUACAUGCAAAAAAAGUUGAUGUGAAAUCAUAGACCCAUUUUGAAGUGAGACAAUCUGAUCUUUCACACUAAACAAUAACAGCGGAAUUGCUGGUCUUUCAAAAAUGAGUAGCACAUUUUACAGCAAAACUGCUUACAGACAAUUUAGGAAAAGUACUUCAAUAUUUACUUUUUGAAUAUUGUUCCAGUGCCGUUUGGGGCAAACAGAAUCGUUUGGUUGAGAGAAUGAAUAUAGAGGGAAGUGGGUGUAAAAACAAGUUACAUUUUGAAUUGUAUGCAUUUUAUUCAGAAUAAUUGUUUUAUAGAUAAAGCAAAUCCAAAUAAAAAUAAAACACAGGACAAUCUAGCACAUGCCAUCCAGACUUAUUCCAUCAUAGUGUUAGAGACAUUGAUAUAUUUUAGCUUAAUUUCUUUUUUUUUUAACUUAAAAUUUUAA